Molecule: long non-coding RNA, 401 nt
Organism: Chelonoidis abingdonii (Abingdon island giant tortoise)
Lineage: Eukaryota; Metazoa; Chordata; Testudines; Testudinidae
Source: RefSeq, a predicted model, not a curated record
UGGCAAUCCAUGUCUUUGGGACCUUCAGCCAAGCUGCCUGCAGUUGGCUCUUCUGGGGGCUACUCUUGAGAAUCUCAAGUGAGAAACAUGACGGCACAGCUGCUCGCACCUCUGUGCUCUCGAGACUCAGUGACACCUCUGCCUCGGCUGCCUAUGGUCCAGCAGGGUGCACGACUCAUCCGUGUCAGGCUUCUCGCUGCCAUCUGGCGAGCUGCGUGAGUUCCCAGCUCCCACUCUAGCAGGGGACACUCUUCAAGCCAAAACUGCAGAUUUUUUUGCCCAGCCUCUAAUACUGGCAUUCUCCCUUCUGAAAACGUAAGCAUCACGCCUCUUUUGAAAGAUCUUCGACCCCAACCCUUUGCCAAACUGCUAUGUUUGCAGGCUGAGGUGAUUUAGGAAAA